AACGGCCGCGGUAUCCUAACCGUGCGAAGGUAGCGUAAUCACUUGUUCUUUAAAUGAGGACUAGUAUGAAUGGCACCACGAGGGUUAAACUGUCUCCUUUUUCUAAUCAGUAAAACUAAUCUCCCCGUGAAGAAGCGGGGAUUAUAUUAUAAGACGAGAAGACCCUAUGGAGCUUAAAACAAAUUAACACCUGCUUCUACCUAUUUUUCUUCCUGAACUCACACAUAAAAUAUAGCACUAUUGAUUAAUAGUUUUCGAUUGGGGUGAUCAUGGAGCAAAACCCAACCUCCACGACGAAAAGGGAGCACUCCCCUGAGCUAAAAGCUACAACUUUAGGCCCUAAAAAAUUAACGCACUUUGACCCAAAUUUUUGAGCAACGAACCAAGUUACCCUAGGGAUAACAGCGCAAUCCAUUUCAAGAGCCCCUAUCGACAAAUGGGUUUACGACCUCGAUGUUGGAUCAGGGUAUCCCAGUGGUGCAGCCGCUACUAAAGGUUCGUUUGUUCAACGAUUAAAACCCUACGUGAUCUGAGUUCAGACCGGAGAAAUCCAGGUCAGUUUCUAUCU
This 568-nucleotide ribosomal RNA is filed under the name Boana aff. multifasciata CM-2022. RNAcentral describes it as "partial 16S ribosomal RNA". It matches the Rfam family "Bacterial large subunit ribosomal RNA", at positions 1926 to 2643 of the family's 2925-position model. The record is from RNAcentral. Lineage: Eukaryota; Metazoa; Chordata; Amphibia; Anura; Hylidae.